UGUAAUGAUGAAUCAUUUGACUAGAGUCUCUGAUUUAACUAUGAAGUUCUUCACAGUGCACUGAACU
RNAcentral lists this small nucleolar RNA (67 nucleotides) under Danio rerio (zebrafish). Its description in RNAcentral is "small nucleolar RNA SNORD52". The record is from RNAcentral. Lineage: Eukaryota; Metazoa; Chordata; Actinopteri; Cypriniformes; Danionidae.